RNAcentral lists this non-coding RNA (80 nucleotides) under uncultured Collinsella sp. RNAcentral describes it as "aspS RNA". It matches the Rfam family "aspS RNA". Lineage: Bacteria; Bacillati; Actinomycetota; Coriobacteriia; Coriobacteriales; Coriobacteriaceae. The record is from RNAcentral.
CCUGCGCCGUCUACGCAGGCGCGGCAAUCUGUAGGCAAGCCGCCCGUACCGGCACGGGGCGGCACAGAUCAAUAAGGAGG